GGUAAUAGAAUAAUCCCACAUUGUAAAAAUGUAGAAGUGAGAUGGCAACAAUUUCCUAUAUAAAAAGAGAGGAACAGGCAUUCCCAUAGUUCAAAUUUUUGGAAGGACAUCCAUGGUUCCUUUAAACAUGGCAAUUGUUUUCCCAUCGAUAUGAACAAUUUCUGGAAGGGCUUCCUAAAAUCAAGGGUAAAGUCUUAAAAAAACAUAAAUUAAAAAUUUUGAAUUUCAUUUCUUCCCAUAUAUUAACAGUGCCAACAUGAUAUAGAUAUUCAGGUACGACCCUUGAAUGCGCAAUUGUACGUCAUCAAGUCAUGACCAGUAAUAUUUAAUCCAAUGUCUAAAAUAAUAUAAUGCACAGGACACUAACAUAUGUACGACAUAAAAUAAUAUACUGCAUAAGAUACUAACACAUGUACGACGCAAAAUCGAUCUAAUCGAUAUAGUCAACUUGGUACAUAUAGUAUUAGACAUAUAUCAACCAGGCGAACCCGGCUCCUUACGGCACACAAUUCGUUUAUGAUUAGCUUGGGCAUGUAGCAAUUUGAUGUAAGUAAAAGUUGUUAAACAUCUUCUGAAUUUAUAUAAAUAUAAUAACAGUAGAUGGAAUUAUUUAGGAUUGUGAGUUUGGAAUAAACUAUAUUACAGUUUGAAUUAUUUAGUCAAUAAUGAAAUUAAUUGUUUUGAUUUUUUUUUUAAAUUUCAUGACCUAUUUGCUUUUAAUGAUAAUUGAAACAUAUAUAACAUAAAAUUAAACCUGAAAAUAAACAUACGACAUACAAGCAAUAAUUUAGAGUAAUAUCAAUAGAGAGUAUGAUGAAUAGAACCAUAUGUCAAUAGAGAGUAAUACAAUGUUGCCAAAAUCGUAAUGAUAAGAUCAGUUACCUAUUUACAUAGUUACCUUCUCCAUUGUUGGAAAUUUUGAUAACUAAAUUUCACUAUUUUUCUAAUGUACUUGAAUUUAGAACUUUAGAUGCAGUUACUGCAUGUUGUUAAAAAAAUAAGAAGGGUUGCCUAAUUGCCUUUGGUUUCUUGUUUUAUUUUUAUAACUUUUUGUCAAGGGUAAUUGUCUAAUUCUCUAUAAUUGGUAUUUAGUUUUUCUGAAAAUGCUUUGUUUAAUAAUUACAUGAUUUAUAUCUAAAUAAAUAUGGAUAAUUAUACGUAGUUUAAUAAUCCAGUGAGGAGGAGAAUCCAGAAACAUUUUUGGAUAUGGUUCUCUAAUAUGGAUUCGGGUAUGUCAAUUCUGAACCCAAUAUCAAAUUGACAUUACAGAACAUCAGAAAAACUUAUUUUACAGGGAAAUGAUUGAAAAUCAAAAUUACAGUUCAAUUUCAGAGUUCAGACAAAAUUUCUUUUCGAAAUUUAUAAAAAUGCAAUCGGUAUCGGAAAGAGAAUCAGAUGCAGCAACUUUUGAAAUGAGAAACAAUAUGAAAACCCAUUUCGAAUAUAUAUCAAUUAAAUUAAAAAAAAAACUCUGAAAGUCUAGGGUCAGAUGUUGGAUCAAAAUUCUCACAAUUAUUGGGAUCUAUAGGAAUACAAACACGACCUGUAGUAAAGCAAAAAAACCAUCCAAAUCACAGUAAAAUUCUCUAUAUUCAGAAACAUAAAGACCCAUGAUUUAAGUAACAUAACUUUUGAUUAAAAUAGAACCCAUGAUUUAAAAUAGAACAAGUGCAGUACUUUAAACAACAGAACUUUAAAUACAUGAUUUUAAGCAGAGAAAUACCCAAUCAUAUUGGAGAAAUAUGAUUGGGCUUUAAACAGAGAAAUAUUUUAAAUGAGGAUUGUAUUGUGAAAAAUGUUGUGAUUGUGAUUAUGAUUUAGGGAGGAUUGUAUUGUGAAAUAUUUUUCACCAAGAACAUAAAACUAAACCGGAGGAUGUCAUAGAACUCACCAAAUCCUCACUGUCAUCACUGUCCUCACUGCGGAAGAUGAAGAACUCGAUCACUGUCCUCAUUGCGCCUGCCGGAAGAUGAAGAACUCGCGCGCGCCGGAAGAUGAAGAAGUCGCAGUCGCCGAUGCCGGAAUGGAAUGCAAGAAAUCAAUCGGAACGAUUGGAUUUGGGAGAAAUUGAAAAUCGGGAGGGGUUCGGGUUUAGAGAUUUGGGGAUUUUAAU
Molecule: long non-coding RNA, 2113 nt
Filed under: Zostera marina
Lineage: Eukaryota; Viridiplantae; Streptophyta; Magnoliopsida; Alismatales; Zosteraceae
Description: long non-coding RNA (ZMAR_LNC003413)
Source: RNAcentral